Molecule: ribosomal RNA, 459 nt
Filed under: uncultured bacterium
Lineage: Bacteria
Description: partial 16S ribosomal RNA
Rfam family: Bacterial small subunit ribosomal RNA
Source: RNAcentral
CCUACGUGAGGCAGCAGUGAGGAAUAUUGGUCAAUGGCCGCAAGCCUGAACCAGCCAAGUCGCGUGAGGGAUGACGGUCCUAUGGAUUGUAAACCUCUUUUGUCAGGGAGCAAAUGGCGCCACGUGUGGCGUUUUGCGAGUACCUGAAGAAAAAGCAUCGGCUAACUCCGUGCCAGCAGCCGCGGUAAUACGGAGGAUGCGAGCGUUAUCCGGAUUUAUUGGGUUUAAAGGGUGCGCAGGCGGAAUUUCAAGUCAGCGGUAAAAUUUCGGGGCUCAACCCCGUCGUGCCGUUGAAACUGGCGUUCUUGAGUGAGCGAGAAGUAUGCGGAAUGCGUGGUGUAGCGGUGAAAUGCAUAGAUAUCACGCAGAACCCCGAUUGCGAAGGCAGCAUACCGGCGCCCUACUGACGCUGAGGCACGAAAGUGCGGGUAUCGAACAGGAUUAGAUACCCUUGUAGUC